Molecule: ribosomal RNA, 253 nt
Filed under: uncultured bacterium
Lineage: Bacteria
Description: partial 16S ribosomal RNA
Rfam family: Bacterial small subunit ribosomal RNA
Source: RNAcentral
UACAGAGGGUGCGAGCGUUAAUCGGAAUUACUGGGCGUAAAGCGCGCGUAGGCGGCUUUGCAAGUCGGGUGUGAAAUCCCCAGGCUUAACCUGGGAACUGCAUUCGAGACUGCAUUGCUAGAGUAUGGGAGAGGGAAGUGGAAUUUCCGGUGUAGCGGUGAAAUGCGUAGAUAUCGGAAGGAACAUCAGUGGCGAAAGCGACUUCCUGGACCAAUACUGACGCUCAUGUGCGAAAGCCAGGGGAGCGAACGGG